Molecule: ribosomal RNA, 253 nt
Filed under: uncultured bacterium
Lineage: Bacteria
Description: partial 16S ribosomal RNA
Rfam family: Bacterial small subunit ribosomal RNA
Source: RNAcentral
UACAGAGGGCCCGAGCGUUGUUCGGAUUCAUUGGGCGUAAAGGGUGCGUAGGCGGUGGGGUAAGUUGGAUGUGAAAUCUUGGGGCUUAACCUCAAAAUUGCAUUCAAUACUGCUCCGCUCGAGUUCUGUAGAGGAGAUUGGAAUUUACGGUGUAGCAGUGAAAUGCGUAGAUAUCGUGAGGAACGCCAGUGGCGAAAGCGAAUCUCUGGGCAGCAACUGACGCUGAGGCACGAAGGCCAGGGGAGCAAACGGG